CCCGUCACGUCAUGGGAGUUGUCAAGGCGUGAAGUCCGUGGGCUGACCUUCGCAAGAAGGAGGCAGCGGCCGAGCGCCGGGGCAGCGACUGGGACG
This 96-nucleotide ribosomal RNA is filed under the name uncultured bacterium. Its description in RNAcentral is "partial 16S ribosomal RNA". The record is from RNAcentral.